AGAGCUUGCAGUGAGCUGAGAACUGGCCACUGCACUUCAGCCUGGGCAACAGAGCAAGACUCCGUCUCAAAAAAAAAAAAAAAAGACAGAAAGGAUCUGGAUACAUGAUGAGCACUGAAACUUUAUUUAUAAUAGUACGAAUGAGCCUGGUAUGUGCAGAGAAGAACCAGCAGAUCGGUCUGGCUGGAGCGUAUCAUACGAGGGGAGCAUAGUGGGCAAGGGAGCCAAAGAGGAGGCAGGAGCUCGAUCGUUCAUCACGCAGAGUCUUGAAGGCAAGGUCCACAGGGCCUGAAAAUUGCUUCCAGCAACUGACAAGUUCAUCCCCUUCCAACUGGUCUGACAAGCCCUGAGGAAAAAAGACAGUGACACACACCCCCCC
This is a long non-coding RNA of Piliocolobus tephrosceles (Ugandan red Colobus), 379 nucleotides long. RefSeq lists it as uncharacterized. The record is from RefSeq and is a predicted model, not a curated record. The transcript is spliced from 3 exons. NCBI's taxonomy places the organism in Eukaryota, Metazoa, Chordata, Mammalia, Primates, Cercopithecidae.